Molecule: ribosomal RNA, 207 nt
Filed under: uncultured bacterium
Lineage: Bacteria
Description: partial 16S ribosomal RNA
Rfam family: Bacterial small subunit ribosomal RNA
Source: RNAcentral
UGCGUAGGCGGUUGAGUAAGUCUGACGUGAAAUCUCCGGGCCUAACCCGGAAACUGCGUUGGAUACUAUUCGGCUAGAGGAAUGGAGGGGAGACUGGAAUACUUGGUGUAGCAGUGAAAUGCGUAGAUAUCAAGUGGAACACCAGUGGCGAAGGCGAGUCUCUGGACAUUUCCUGACGCUGAGGCACGAAAGCCAGGGGAGCAAACG